Molecule: ribosomal RNA, 253 nt
Filed under: uncultured bacterium
Lineage: Bacteria
Description: partial 16S ribosomal RNA
Rfam family: Bacterial small subunit ribosomal RNA
Source: RNAcentral
UACGUAGGUGGCAAGCGUUGUCCGGAAUUAUUGGGCGUAAAGAGCGCGUAGGCGGUUUCCUAAGUCAGAUGUGAAAACCCCGGGCUUAACCUGGGACCUGCAUUUGAAACUGGGAGACCAGAGUACAGGAGAGGUAAGUGGAAUUCCUAGUGUAGCGGUGAAAUGCGUAGAUAUUAGGAGGAACACCAGUGGCGAAGGCGACUUACUGGACUGUAACUGACGCUGAGGCGCGAAAGCGUGGGGAGCAAACAGG